CCUACGGGUGGCAGCAGUGAGGAAUAUUGGUCAAUGGGCGCAAGCCUGAACCUGCCAAGUCGCGUGAGGGAAUACGGCCCUACGGGUUGUAAACCUCUUUUGUCGGGGAGCAAGCUUGAGCACGUGUGCCCAGGCGGAGAGUACCCGGAGAAAAAGCAUCGGCUAACUCCGUGACAGCGGCCGCGGUAAUACGGAGGAUGCGAUCGUUAGCCGGAUUGAGUGGGGUUAAAGGGUGCGCAGGCGGGCUGUUAAGCCGGCGGGAAAACUUCAGGGCUCAACCCUGUCGAGCAGACGGAACUGGCAGUCUUGAGUGGGCGAGAAGUAUGCGGAAGGCGUGGUGUAGCGGUGAAAUGCAUAGAUAUCACGCAGAACGCCGAUUGCGAAGGCAGCAUACCGGCGCCCAACUGACGCUGAGGCACGAAGGCGAGGGGAUCGAACAGGAUUAGAUACCCCUGUAGUC
This 460-nucleotide ribosomal RNA is filed under the name uncultured bacterium. RNAcentral describes it as "partial 16S ribosomal RNA". It matches the Rfam family "Bacterial small subunit ribosomal RNA", at positions 338 to 795 of the family's 1533-position model. The record is from RNAcentral.